GGGGAUAUGGUGAAAUAGGUAAACACGCUGGUCUCAAAAACCAGUGCCGAAAGGCUUCCCGGUUCGAUUCCGGGUAUCCCUACCA
This 85-nucleotide transfer RNA is filed under the name Alphaproteobacteria bacterium. Its description in RNAcentral is "tRNA-Leu". It matches the Rfam family "tRNA". Rfam says of the family: Transfer RNA (tRNA) molecules are approximately 80 nucleotides in length. Their secondary structure includes four short double-helical elements and three loops (D, anti-codon, and T loops). The record is from RNAcentral. Lineage: Bacteria; Pseudomonadati; Pseudomonadota; Alphaproteobacteria.